Pan troglodytes (chimpanzee) is the source of this 2004-nucleotide long non-coding RNA. RefSeq lists it as uncharacterized. The transcript is spliced from 3 exons. Lineage: Eukaryota; Metazoa; Chordata; Mammalia; Primates; Hominidae. The record is from RefSeq and is a predicted model, not a curated record.
GGGGGAUGGAAGAGCGCCUCAGAUGGAUUUGCAUCGAGAGGCUGUGCUCUGAAGCCCCUUAUGGGGUCUUGCUAAGCUGGAAUCCCACAUGAAGUCACACCAUCACGGGGCCUUCUCCACUGGGGCCUCCACCACGCUGAUGCCACUCAAGGUCAGGGACUCUCCAACUACAAAAAAAGGAGAGACCCAAUCUUGCUAUGCUGCCCAGGCUAGUCUUGAACCCCUGACCUCAAGCAAUCCUCCUGUCUCAGCCUCCCAAGUCUCUGGGAUUACAGCAGAAACUUCCAAUAAGAAGAUUGAGCCACCAGGCAGAUGUUAUAAGCAAUGUGAGCUUGUGCUGGAAGAAGAGAGAAUCCACCAGUGUCCUGGGCCCUCCGAGGCCUCUCUGAGGGAAAGACAUUUGGACAGAGAUGCCAAGGACAAGGAAGAGGCAGUCACCCACCUCUGAGCAAGGUGCAAAAGCCCAAGAUUCAUGUUCAUGUGUUGCAAGCACAAAAAGAAGAUCCUGUGGCUGGAGUAGAGUGAGGAACAGUGAGAAUGGUAGGAGCAGAGGGCAGAGAAAGGGGCAAAAACAAGGUCGCAUGAGGCCUUGUAAGCCAUGGUCAAGAAGUGAUAUUUUAUUUUAAAUGAAUCCAAAGUAAUUGCAAGGUUUUGAGCAAGUAAGCAAAACGCUCCUUUGCAAAAAACAAAAAAACAAAAAAAACUCUAGGGCUUCAGUAAGGCAAACAAAUUGUGAGUGGGAAAGAGUGGAUGCAGGACUUUUAGGCAAGGGUGGGGUAAGGGAAGGUGGAGAAGAGAAGACAUAAGAUGUUUGGAGGUGGAGCCAACAGGAUGCAUUAUUGACUAGGUUGCAGGUACCUGGCAGGAGACAGGGGCUUUCUCGACCACUCAUGCAAGAGAAGAGUCCAGGAUGCUGCUUCAGUCACCUGUCUGUCCACAAUGACAAUGGGGCAUGAAAAAAUGCCCUAACUCAGGGACAUAAAAUAAUUAGCUUUUAUUUAGUACACAAGUCUGAACUUUGCAUUUUAGGCUGGGCUCGGCUGGGCAGUUGUUCUGGUUUUGAAAGGGCUCAUUCACAUUCUGGUGGUGGGUUGGCUGUUAGCUGGGAUAAGAGGUAAAUGGGCCAUUUGGCUCCCACCCUCCAUGUGAGGCUGGCCCAGGCACAUCCUCAUGGUGAAGGCCAAGGUGGAAAACUGGACCAGCCCAAGCACAAAGCAUUUUUCAUGCCUCUUCUCCUGCUUAUUUGUUAUCCCCCCUUUGACCAAAGCAAGUCACAGGACAGAUCUCAGCAUCAAAGUGGGUGGCCCUAUAAAGAUAGAUGGCCAGGGGUGAGGACUUAGACCACUCAUGCAAUCUGUCUACCCACCACAGAAGGUCCUAGAUGUUUGACUUGAAUAACAGGGUAGCUGAAGGUGCCUUUUAUUGCCAUGGGGCAAACUGGGAGAGGAAUGCAUUGUAGAUGGCAGGAAUCAGGGAUUCUGUUUUGGCUUAGGGACCUGCCGGGCAGCUUUAUGUUCCCUAAAGCACUGAGUGAGGGCUCAUGGGAACUGCUCCAUGUCUAUGGGUAAUUCUGCUCUUCUGGUUUUGAAUAAAAUUCACUAACCUGGAGUUUCAAAGUCCCAAGAAGGCAAAACCUUUUGAUGAUGAUGCCAGUGAGCCUGCAUUCAGGUGACAACAUGGCAGAGAGCAGUUCCUCCCCAGUCCCAAAGUGACACCCGUCAGCUGAACAGUGACGGACAUUUGUCACUUGCCAGAUUCCUUCUGUCUGUCAUGUCCCCAUCCUGUCUCCACUGCAGAAGGAGCUGGAGCCUCCUUUUACUGAGAGGCUCUCCAAUCUUAUGCUGAUCGUUAACUAAGAUAUUUCUCUCCAGAGAUUUAUUACAUUAAUGAGCUCUGAAAUUACUCAUAGCAAUUAAGUAUAUUGUUUUUAAACUCUUCAGAAAUCAUCAAAACACAUUGGUUGUUUUUCAGGGAAACAUAAAUAAAGGGUACAACUUGUCACCC